UACAGAGGUGGCAAGCGUUGUUCGGAAUUACUGGGCGUAAAGGGCGCGUAGGUGGUCUUGUCAGUCAGACGUGAAAUCCCCGGGCUUAACUCGGGAACUGCGUCUGAUACUACAAGACUUGAGUUCGGGAGAGGGAUGUGGAAUUCCAGGUGUAGCGGUGAAAUGCGUAGAUAUCUGGAGGAACACCGGUGGCGAAGGCGGCUUUCUGGACGGUAACUGACGCUGAGACACGAAAGCGUGGGGAGCAAACAGG
This 253-nucleotide ribosomal RNA is filed under the name uncultured bacterium. Its description in RNAcentral is "partial 16S ribosomal RNA". It matches the Rfam family "Bacterial small subunit ribosomal RNA", at positions 524 to 776 of the family's 1533-position model. The record is from RNAcentral.